UCUUGGGGUGGGGGAACGUAGUUGACAUUGGACCUGAAAGACAAAGCCAACGUGAGGACAGCAGACGGCUGCUUUCUGACUCACACAUACAUACAUCGUACAAGGAACAGAGCGAAAGGCACCUCUGAGUCAAGAUUUAACGGAGCACAACGAAGAGCCUAACAGAUAAAAAGCACAAGCUGCUGUUUUGUACCUCCAAACAAACGCUUCUCUGUUUGUAAUGCUUCGUUUAUGAUAAUAGAGUAGUUUUAUUUAGUCAUAAAAAUGUUCCAACUUUGCAUACAAGUUAAGUUUUCAGUUAAAUCUAUUGGUAUUCACAAAACUCCUGGAGAAAACACCUGUUUUCAGCGUCUAAAAUGAUUCCAGUUGUAAGUAACCAUAGUGACACAGAGGUGAAAGUUUUACAUUUCUUAAAAAUGUAGUUUGGAUACGUGGUAAUUCUUCCUUAUCUCCAAUAGCGACGCACGUGGAGUGUCUGAGCAAAGGGAGAAUAAAACACAAUCAGGAAAUGACGGACAAAUGUGGUUUUAAAUACGGCUUUCCAUUCCAGGUAAGAUACUGACUCCCUACAGGUCUCACACACUGCCCCGUUUUAAACAAAGAUGUCUAUUAUCUUGUCAAUCUGUCACAUUCACUGCACACUUUCACUUUAAUGAAGCAGGUAAAUUUUUUAGUAGACUCAUUAACAUUUCUACCUGGCUUUAUAAAUAUUACAUUUGUUAUUUAAUAAUGUACAGAUGCCAAAGUUGAUGUGAUGAAUUAUUCAGAUUUGGUGAUUGUUUAGGCUUGAGGGAGUCUGGUUUUACAUUUUGACCCCAAGCUAAGGUUUCUCCUGAACCUUAGGGAAAACAAUUAGAUAUUUCCAUCUUGCACAUUGGACUGAAAUGAUGAGAACGGAGGUUAUUUUUCUUCCUUUACAGGAUGUUCCUGCCUCUUUCCGUGUGUUCAACAUGCAGCAAGCUUGCAGGACCAGGGGAAACAAAGAAACGACUCCAACACGGAGAGACGGAGAGGGGGAGGACGUUUCUCGGCCGCGUUCAGCCGUUUCCUGGAGUCGGUGCCGGGUUUGGCUGCUGAUGUGGGCCGCGCCGUGACACUGGGAGAUCCAAAACGACCUGCGGGGUAUCAGGUUGGCGGCUUUAACGAGAGCGGGCUCGUGUAGCACUGCACACCAUGCGGGGAGUCUGGAGGCGAGUCGUUCACGGAAAGGUGCAGGGAUGCGGCUUCACGCGCCCGUCGGGUUCAAACAACUACGAUCUUUAGCAUCUUUACAUCUAGACUAAAGAUUGCAGCCUACUGGUGAUGAAAACCCAACAUUCAGUUUCUCUGGAAGUCAUAACACACUGGAAGUCCAUCAGAUGGAAAACAUGGUUACUUUUGCAUGUAUUUGUACAAAGAGCUUGUUUGCCUCUCUCAUUUUAACCCAAAAAUGUUUUCCUUUCACUAAACUUUCAUAUUGCAGUUUGUGAUCAGCCAGUUAUAUAUUUUAUUCUUAGAAAUCUGAGAAAGUGAGCUUGAAGUUUUCAGUCGCUGAAAGCCAAAACCAUUACAAUGCAUUAAAAUUUAUUAGUAAGACGAUUGAAACAGUUAGUAGUCGGUCUGAUGAGAGCAUAUUAAGAAGCAGAUAGUUGAAAAAGAAAAAACAAAAUCAGUUAAUAGUGUUAUGAGAUGUAAAUUCAUUCAGAAUAGUAAUAGUUAGCUGUGAGUAGAGUUCUGUAUCUAUACUGUUGAGCUUAGGUAAGACAUUUACCAUUUCUAAUUACUCCACAAAACCUCUCUUAAGCCUAUUCAGUUAACGGAGACAGGAACUCUCCCUUGUAGUUUCCUUAUCUGAACAGAGACACCAGAACACAUUAGAUCCUGCAGCUCCAGCGACUCAGAUGAUCUCUGUGUGAUUUUGCAGUGAAGGCGACCACAACUGUUUGGAUGUGGCCCCCUUUCUUUUUUUUACUUUUUGUACCACUGUUCUUUCUACCUUUUGGCUGUUCGUGUCGCCGCGAGUAAUUGCGUGCGUGUCGGCCGCUCAGUGCGAUAUUCCACCGACGUAAUCCCAAGAUAACAAUAGAGACAGAUUAAAUAAAGCAAAGAGUUUGACCUUUUGGUAGGCAGAUAAUGACAUCGGUCUUCCUGUGCAGUUAGUUCCUGGUGGACUUAGCAGCAUAAUACUGUGAUGUGAACACUCCUAAAGCCUUUAGUCGUCAAAGACGAAGAAGAUGAUGGAUAUUUUAUUUCUCCAGUCUGUUUUAUGAUGAUUUUUUUUUUUAUUUAAUGGGAAAGAAAAGUAGAUUUAACCAGGGUUUAUUUCUGUUCUCUUCAGGUUCUCCACACAGUGCAUGCUGCACGGCCUCCAGGACAUUUGUGAGAUGUAAGGAUACAUAUCGUGCAAACCUGAUCUUUGUACUCUUUGGAUGCAUUCUUUUUCCUCAAAGAGAUUUUGUGGAUCAAGUAAAAGGAUUCCUCACCUCAGAGUUAAAUUAGAUUUUACUUUGAAGAUGUUUUGAAUAGAAUUAGUAGGCUUGGGGAGCAUUAAUAUUUUAAUCUAUACCUGAUAUGCAUGGACGGAAGUUGAUAUCUUCUACAAAACGGUUUCCGUGGCGUUACAAUAAUGAGUAGUUCAGACUAAAAGUGAAUAAUUUAUAAGUAUAUGUCUAUCGUAGCAGCGGCUCCAUCUUCUGUGUCCAGGAUCCACUGAUUUGACCGGACAAUUAUCAAUAUUUUAAAAGUAGAUGAAAGCCUAGUGGAAUCAUGUUAAUAAAAAUGUCACAUCCUGCCUUUUCUGUUUUUUUUUUUUUAUUUGUUUGUUUGAAUUCUGUUUCUGUAAACAUAUUUAACCACAAGAGGAAAGAGAGAUGAAUUUGCUGUGGAUUGUUUGGUAGAGACGUUUUUUUAAUCCUGCAGAAAUUGAAGGGAGAUAAUCCCCAUUUCUGUACUGAAACAUGUGUUCUGAACUUUUAGAUUCAUUUUCCAAAAGAGUAUUAAAAAUGGUGAAGCAGCAGUCGCAUCGAAGUAUUACGGAUAAAUGAUUUAGUGUUGUUCCUUUUUGUCUGUUUCCAGAAAGCGAUGAAGAUGUCCUGGUCCGUUCGGUGAAUGUCAAACUGCAAGAUCUGAUCCUUUUCUUUACACUUAACAAAAAUGUGUUUAUUUGUCAAGGUGAAACGUCCGACGGGUUCUGGUCGGGUCCAAAACGGAGCAUUUUGUUGUGUUUAGAACAGGAAGAUAAUUAUCUCUGCAGGUUUUCCAUGAAAACUAACUGGUAAGUAGUUGUCAGUUUGAGAUUUUCUUCAAAUACAAGAAGUAAAUAAUGAAAUGUAUUUAUGCCAGACUUUGAGGUGAUGUAUGAGGAAAA
Molecule: long non-coding RNA, 3346 nt
Organism: Gambusia affinis (western mosquitofish)
Lineage: Eukaryota; Metazoa; Chordata; Actinopteri; Cyprinodontiformes; Poeciliidae
Exons: 3
Source: RefSeq, a predicted model, not a curated record